GCGCCCUUCGGGGUGAGCGGCGGACGGGUGAGUAACGCGUGGGAAUAUGCCCUUCUCUAAGGAAUAGCCUCGGGAAACUGAGAGUAAUACCUUAUACGCCCUACGGGGGAAAGAUUUAUCGGAGAAGGAUUAGCCCGCGUUAGAUUAGGUAGUUGGUGGGGUAAUGGCCUACCAAGCCUACGAUCUAUAGCUGGUUUGAGAGGAUGAUCAGCCACACUGGGACUGAGACACGGCCCAGACUCCUACGGGAGGCAGCAGUAGGGAAUCUUAGACAAUGGGGGAAACCCUGAUCUAGCCAUGCCGCGUGUGUGAUGAAGGCCUUAGGGUCGUAAAGCACUUUCGCCAGAGAUGAUAAUGACAGUAUCUGGUAAAGAAACCCCGGCUAACUCCGUGCCAGCAGCCGCGGUAAUACGGAGGGGGUUAGCGUUGUUCGGAAUUACUGGGCGUAAAGCGCACGUA
This 459-nucleotide ribosomal RNA is filed under the name uncultured Paracoccaceae bacterium. RNAcentral describes it as "bacterial SSU rRNA". It matches the Rfam family "Bacterial small subunit ribosomal RNA", at positions 68 to 573 of the family's 1533-position model. Lineage: Bacteria; Pseudomonadati; Pseudomonadota; Alphaproteobacteria; Rhodobacterales; Paracoccaceae. The record is from RNAcentral.